CACACAUAUAAAAAUGUGGUAGGGUUUCGUAUUUGAGCUAAGAUCAGUUCACUCCUCUUCCACUCACCGCAUAUACUCCUAUGGCUUCUUUCUUCAAUCUUCAAAUCAUUCUUCUUCUUCUGUGGGCAAUCAACACCGUGCCAUGGUCUAGUUGAGGUGGAUCCGUCUCCAGCUACAAUACUGAGUUCUCCAGAGUAAGAGAUUGUGAAAUGCUUUUUGGUUCUAAAAAGUAUGGUCUAGUCCACUGAGGUUUGACAUGCAAUCUUGUUAUGGAAGGGAGGAAGAUUAACAUGAGAAACCGUACCCGCGUGUAACUGGAUGGUGUCAAAAUCCCAUGUUGCUUGCAAUGAAGAUCUAACCAAUGCCCCCCUGAUCUACUGAGAGUCCUUUUUAUUGGCUGGUUAAUUAGGCUAAGUAGAAAAUCCCCUUUUUUGUUUCCCUGAAUUGUUGAUGUACAGUUGAUGUAUGUGGUAAACUUAGCAUAGCCUGUCCAGUCUGUUUACUUGUUUGAUAUUGAUAACCUUCGGAGGAAGAUUGGUACUUAUUACUGUUAAUAAUCCUUCUGCCUAGACUUAGAAGUUGAUAGAAUGUUGUAUAUGUGAAUGUGUUUAGUUCCAAUGCCAUGUUAGCUAAAAAAUCUGCUAAUUGAUUGCCUUCUC
Molecule: long non-coding RNA, 659 nt
Organism: Capsicum annuum
Lineage: Eukaryota; Viridiplantae; Streptophyta; Magnoliopsida; Solanales; Solanaceae
Exons: 3
Source: RefSeq, a predicted model, not a curated record